GAACGCUGGCGGCGUGCCUAAUACCUGCAAGUCGAGCGAACAGAUGAGGAGCUUGCUCCUCUGACGUUAGCGGCGGACGGGUGAGUAACACGUGGAUAACCUACCUAUAAGACUGGGAUAACUUCGGGAAACCGGAGCUAAUACCGGAUAAUAUAUUGAACCGCAUGGUUCAAUAGUGAAAGACGGUUUUGCUGUCACUUAUAGAUGGAUCCGCGCCGCAUUAGCUAGUUGGUAAGGUAACGGCUUACCAAGGCAACGAUGCGUAGCCGACCUGAGAGGGUGAUCGGCCACACUGGAACUGAGACACGGUCCAGACUCCUACGGGAGGCAGCAGUAGGGAAUCUUCCGCAAUGGGCGAAAGCCUGACGGAGCAACGCCGCGUGAGUGAUGAAGGUCUUCGGAUCGUAAAACUCUGUUAUUAGGGAAGAACAAAUGUGUAAGUAACUAUGCACGUCUUGACGGUACCUAAUCAGAAAGCCACGGCUAACUACGUG
RNAcentral lists this ribosomal RNA (494 nucleotides) under uncultured bacterium. RNAcentral describes it as "partial 16S ribosomal RNA". It matches the Rfam family "Bacterial small subunit ribosomal RNA", at positions 31 to 507 of the family's 1533-position model. The record is from RNAcentral.